Molecule: long non-coding RNA, 1021 nt
Organism: Hippoglossus stenolepis (Pacific halibut)
Lineage: Eukaryota; Metazoa; Chordata; Actinopteri; Pleuronectiformes; Pleuronectidae
Exons: 3
Source: RefSeq, a predicted model, not a curated record
GUCACUGUGGCUGCAGGUGCUCAUCACACGGGUCGCGUGCAGCAUCUGGAACACCUGAGUUUUAGGACACGGCACGUGCCGCGCGCGAGCCCCGCAGCACGGGGUCACUUCAACCAUGUGUGUGUGUGUGUGUGUGUGAGAGUGUGUGAGUGUGUGUCCGUUAACGGUACCGACAAACACCGAGAGACACAAAGAGCUGAACCGCCCCCGGUGUGUGUGACCGUGCAGCGGCUCCGGUCCUCAGGUAACUGAACCGCCAGGGUUAACGGCGACGGGGCUAACGCUAGCUCGCGUUAGCUGUUGACAUUAGCCGCGCGGAAAUUUGCACGAAACGCGCAGAGUCCGACGAGCUAACCGAGCUCCGGCGGCACCUGGAGCCCCGACGGGAGGGCUCACCUGUCGAGCAGCUGCUGGCAACGCGUGUGACACCACACAAAAACAACUGCCCCCCCACGCUAGCCUAGCUACGUUGCUAGCUAGCUAGCGCAAAUUGCCAUACACAACCAGAAGAGUUAGCAUGCUAGCUAACGCGCUAGCAGCCUUUUAUCUCUCUCCCCCCCCCCCCGGUGCGGAGGUAACGUUACAAUCCGUCGGUUUCCAGUCGGUGUCAGUGCUGGUGCUCGUGUUUGAUGGUGACCCACAGACCUGCGGUGCCGCGCCGCCGCUCCUCGGUGUCAGGCGGAUGGAUGCAGCAGGAAGCCCUCGGUGCUGUAAACGCACCCGACCGACCUGGUGUCCAGGUUGUGUCUGUACAGUGAGUUAUCGUGUCUGUGCUGCGGCCUGGUUCUGCAUGGAUGAACUCCGGUGACGGCGGCAGCAGGUCUGCAGAUCUGAGCACAGCGUGGUUCUUGGAUCUCAUCGUACUUUCAAGGGCAAAGACUGGAGACACACAGCUGCUUUCGGUCAGAGCUGUCGACGGCUCUGUUUUUAAUGCUGAGCCACGGCACAUCAUGUCAACAGAACGGCUGAAACUUCACGAGAAGAUAAUCCCGCUCUUCUUUGAGUGCACCUAACGCAGAGU